GAUGAACGCUGGCGGCGUGCCUAAUACAUGCAAGUCGAGCGAACGGACGAGAAGCUUGCUUUUCUGAUGUUAGCGGCGGACGGGUGAGUAACACGUGGAUAACCUACCUAUAAGACUGGGAUAACUUCGGGAAACCGGAGCUAAUACCGGAUAAUAUUUUGAACCGCAUGGUUCAACAGUGAAAGACGGUCUUGCUGUCACUUAUAGAUGGAUCCGCGCUGCAUUAGCUAGUUGGUAAGGUAACGGCUUACCAAGGCAACGAUGCAUAGCCGACCUGAGAGGGUGAUCGGCCACACUGGAACUGAGACACGGUCCAGACUCCUACGGGAGGCAGCAGUAGGGAAUCUUCCGCAAUGGGCGAAAGCCUGACGGGGCAACGCCGCGUGAGUGAUGAAGGUCUUCGGAUCGUAAAACUCUGUUAUUAGGGAAGAACAUAUGUGUAAGUAACUGUGCACAUCUUGACGGUACCUAAUCAGAAAGCCACGGCUAACUACGUG
Molecule: ribosomal RNA, 497 nt
Filed under: uncultured bacterium
Lineage: Bacteria
Description: partial 16S ribosomal RNA
Rfam family: Bacterial small subunit ribosomal RNA
Source: RNAcentral